Molecule: ribosomal RNA, 204 nt
Filed under: Spumella elongata
Lineage: Eukaryota; Chrysophyceae; Chromulinales; Chromulinaceae
Description: partial Bacterial large subunit ribosomal RNA
Rfam family: Bacterial large subunit ribosomal RNA
Source: RNAcentral
GAAAAGAAAUCAACCGAGAUUCCGUAAGUAGCGACGAGCGAACGCGGACUAGCCCUUAAGCUGAUUUGGUUCUAGGAAAACACUCUGGAAAGAGUGGCCAUAGAAGGUGAUAGCCCUGUAUCUGAAAGGGCCAUUUCAGUGAAGACGAGUAGGGCGGGGCACGUGAAACCCUGUCUGAACAUGGGGGGACCAUCCUCCAAGGCU